UUUAAAGCAGUUACUUUAAAAAAAAAUUUUUUUUUAAUUGAGGCCGUGGAGGAGGGAAUUGGAGUCAGCCCCUCUGGCUGUGGGCUGUCGUCUCGGUUUCUGCCCAGGCUCUCAGGAUUCCUCCUGGUGAAGGAGGGACUUGAUCCACCACCGGGCCGACGGAUAACUCGACCCCGCCCAGUCACGGAAGGUCGUGCGCGCCUGGCCACUCCCACCCAGGUCUUUCCCGCAGGAGGCUGAGCUGCGCUGCCGCUCGAGGAUCCGUCGCGAGGUGGCUCGGGACCGCCGGCACCUCCGAGAACCAGGCCGAGAGUCGCGCGUCGCAGCCGUUGUGGGCCGGGUCCGGACCGGCAGCCGAGGCCCGUUGGCUUCAGAGGGGACCCCGCAAAGAAGGCUUUCCUCUGCCCCUGAGGGACGCCCCCAGAAGCCAGACGGAACGACCGCACGCCCUUCUAGCCCCCUUUCCUCGCCAACCCCCGGGACGCUCCCGAAGGGCCCGUCUAGGGCUCUGGUCCCGGCCACUCGCUGAAGGAGCCGCCGCCGGUGGAUUAGGGAUUUCACACUUCAUGGACAGGCGGAGGGGGCGCCGGGCGAGGGGUCUGCCUAGAGCCUGGUGAGGGGCGGCCGAGCCCCGGGUCAGGCGCUGCGGAGGGACCAGCCAAGGGCUGCGGAGGGACCUGAUAGGGACGAUCGAGAGCUCGGUGAGGAGCGGCCAACAGCCCAAGGAGCGCGCCCUCGGGGCGGACAGCGUGGCGGUCCUCUGCGAGGCGAUGCCCCGGCGGCUGCGGGCCGCUGGCCGCCCGAGGCCCUGGGCAUGGACCUGGCGCCCCAGUCCUAGGGACCCUGGAACUCUGCCUCUCUGCUCGGACUCGCCGACGGCGUAAGGGGCUCGGAAGUGGUGUGCGGGCUCAUCUUCAGGCUGCUGUUCCCGCUCUGCCUGGCAGAAGUUCCUGCAACAAAAGCGCUGGAUGCUGGGGCUAUGGAGGAUCCAGACCCGGUCCUGCCCUCCAGACGCCCGCCCUAACAGACCUUUGAAGGCCUUAAAAGAAAAAAGAAAACCGAAGAUGGG
Long non-coding RNA from Suricata suricatta (meerkat), 1069 nucleotides. RefSeq lists it as uncharacterized. The record is from RefSeq and is a predicted model, not a curated record. Lineage: Eukaryota; Metazoa; Chordata; Mammalia; Carnivora; Herpestidae. The transcript has 3 exons.